This 72-nucleotide transfer RNA is filed under the name Marmota monax (woodchuck). It matches the Rfam family "tRNA". Rfam says of the family: Transfer RNA (tRNA) molecules are approximately 80 nucleotides in length. Their secondary structure includes four short double-helical elements and three loops (D, anti-codon, and T loops). The record is from Rfam by way of RNAcentral. Lineage: Eukaryota; Metazoa; Chordata; Mammalia; Rodentia; Sciuridae.
GGGGUUGUGGCUCAGCGGUAGAGUGUGCACCUAGCACAUGCAAGGCCCUGGGUUUGAUCCUCAGCAUCACAU